GUCUAUGGCCAUGCUACCCUGAACAAGCCCAAUCCAGUCUGAUCUCAGAAGCUAAGCAGGGUCGGGUCUGGCUAGUACUUGGAUGGGAGACCACCUAGGAAGACCAGGUGCUGUAGGCA
This 119-nucleotide ribosomal RNA is filed under the name Pteropus alecto (black flying fox). Lineage: Eukaryota; Metazoa; Chordata; Mammalia; Chiroptera; Pteropodidae. The record is from RNAcentral.